CCCUUAGAUGUCCUGGGCCGCACGCGCGCUACACUGAUGCAUUCAACGAGUUUUACCUUGGCCGAGAGGCCUGGGCAAUCUUUUAAACCUGCAUCGUGAUAGGGAUAGAUUAUUGCAAUUAUUAAUCUUGAACGAGGAAUUCCUAGUAAACGCAAAUCAUCAAUUUGCAUUGAUUACGUCCCUGCCCUUUGUACACACCGCCCGUCGCACCUACCGAUUGAAUGGUCCGGUGAAGCCUCGGGAUUGUGGCCAGUUCACUUUAUUGGGAGUUGGCUGUGAGAACUUGUCUAAACCUUAUCAUUUAGAGGAAGGUGAAGUCGUAAC
This 324-nucleotide ribosomal RNA is filed under the name uncultured eukaryote. RNAcentral's name for it is "partial 18S ribosomal RNA". It matches the Rfam family "Eukaryotic small subunit ribosomal RNA", at positions 1470 to 1795 of the family's 1831-position model. The record is from RNAcentral.